Molecule: small RNA, 496 nt
Filed under: Histoplasma capsulatum var. duboisii H88
Lineage: Eukaryota; Fungi; Ascomycota; Eurotiomycetes; Onygenales; Ajellomycetaceae
Description: Histoplasma capsulatum H88 hypothetical RNA
Source: RNAcentral
CAACCGAAGAGACAGAAACAUGUUACAGCUGUGUCUUGCAGAAGACCAGUGGAGUCUUGGGAUCAUCUCUCAAAGAUUUGGUUAACCAAAGGCGCGCUGAGAGAGUUGGAUCGAAGAAAUCCCAGGCCUUCGAGUACCCAAAAGACUCAUAGACCACUCACUCAAGGGCUUUGGCAAAGGACAUAUGCACUAACUUCCUCAGCUCCUGUGAACCACACUCCCUGGAGGAGAUAAAGCAACUUGCCAGAGACAGUGGUCCAGAUCUCUCCAAUCUGAGAAAUUUUCCACCAGAGCAGAAUUUUCUCAAUAUUCAAUUGUCAAACCAACCUCACAGCAAAAAGCAGCCUUCAACAACAACUUCCGCUUCAAGCAAGUGAUCCUCACAUAGUGGUGGGACUUAUAGCCAUGGCUUUGAACAGCAUUUAAUCAAUCACCAAGUCUACCCCAAAGGAUACAAGUAUCCUGAUGGCCGAAAACUGGAAAGACCACUGAACUG